RNAcentral lists this ribosomal RNA (454 nucleotides) under uncultured Flexibacteraceae bacterium. RNAcentral describes it as "bacterial SSU rRNA". It matches the Rfam family "Bacterial small subunit ribosomal RNA", at positions 28 to 492 of the family's 1533-position model. Lineage: Bacteria; Pseudomonadati; Bacteroidota; Cytophagia; Cytophagales; Cytophagaceae. The record is from RNAcentral.
GAUGAACGCUAGCGGCAGGCCUAAUACAUGCAAGUCGAACGGUGUCUUCGGACAUAGUGGCGCACGGGUGCGUAACACGUAUGCAACCUACCUUACAUUGGGGGAUAGCCUUUCGAAAGGGAGAUUAAUACCGCAUAAGACAGUAGCUGGGCAUCCAGCAGCUGUUAAAGAUUUAUCGAUGUAAGAUGGGCAUGCGUCCAAUUAGUUAGUUGGCGAGGUAAUGGCUCACCAAGACUUUGAUUGGUAGGGGAACUGAGAGGUCAAUCCCCCACACUGGCACUGAGAUACGGGCCAGACUCCUAUGGGAGGCAGCAGUAGGGAAUAUUGGGCAAUGGACGCAAGUCUGACCCAGCCAUGCCGCGUGCAGGAUGAAGGCGUUAUGCGUUGUAAACUGCUUUUAUACAGGAAGAAACGACUCUUGCGAGAGGCAUUGACGGUACUGUAUGAAUAAGCA